Molecule: long non-coding RNA, 6599 nt
Organism: Dreissena polymorpha
Lineage: Eukaryota; Metazoa; Mollusca; Bivalvia; Myida; Dreissenidae
Exons: 2
Source: RefSeq, a predicted model, not a curated record
AACAGUGACUUGUGCAAAGGGGCAUCACCAGGAGCCAGUGGAACAAUGUCAGAAAGUGGUUGGUCUAACACCCAGGUUUUCAUUAAGUAUCUGACCAAACACUUCAUACAAUUUAUGCCUGGCAGGUGUGAAUCCAAAAUUCUGUUGCUUUUAGAUGGUCAUAGGUCCCAUGUAUCAUUCCUUCUUGCAGAGUGGGCAAAGGAGAAUGGUAUAAUUUUGUAUGUUUUACCAGCCCACACAAGCCACCUGCUCCAACCUCUAGAUGUAGCCUGUUAUGGCCCAUUACAGCGGAUGUACCAUUCGCGAUGCCACAAAAUUAUCCGUGAGACAUCAGCUGCCAUCGCCCAGUAUAAUGUUUGUGAUAUCGUCUGCCACGUUUAUCACAAAGCAUUGUCAGCAGAAAACCUUCAAGUUGGCUUUCGCAAAACAGGACUGUUCCCCCUAAAUAAGGAUGCAAUUCCCAGGGAAAGUAUGUUUCCAGCCCAAGUGUAUCAUUCAGAUGACACUGAUGAUUCUGAUUUAACUGUAGAGGGAGGGCUACAAAUUGGACCUGAAAAUGAACACACCAGCACUUUUUUUGAAACUGUAGAACAAAAAAUAAGAUCAGUAAAAAAUCAAAAAGCUAAGAAACCAAGGAAAACGGUUAGCAGACUGGUGUCUGGAAAAGAACUUACCAGUAAUGAGGUAAUGGAGGCCAUAAAAAAUCAUGAACAAAAUCAAAAACCUUCCUUGAAAAAAUCUCAGGAAACACAAAAAGGUAAGCUCGCAGUAAAAAAAAAGUAAGCAAAUUGUUGCAACAACAGCACCUAGUCCAGUAGCAGGCCCAUCUUGUGUUGACACAGCAGUGGGCUGUUCCAGUAACAGCAGUGACAGGGAUGAGGUUUCUGAUGAAAAAUGUUGUGUUUGUCACAGAUUCCAACCAAAGGAACUGUCCGGCUGUAUUUCUCUGACAUUUGUUAAGUGGGUGCAGUGUGAUGGUUUAAAAAAUGGCAUCCCAUGCAAGCACUGGACACACCUUACAUUCUGCACACCUGUAAGGUGUGUCAGAAGGGGUGACAAAUUUCUGUGCUGCCAUUGCAAUAGCAAUGAAGAAUAGUUGAAGUCCAACAAACGCUUGUAAAUAUGUUAAAUUGAGUUGAAUUGUGUUGAAACAUUUUAAUUAUUGUACAGUUGACACUCUUUAUAUGACUAAUUAACAUUACAACCCAAUUACUCAAUUGUAUCGGCCUAAAUAAUAAACUGUGUGAAUGACGUCAGAUGUCGCGACCUUACAUUCAUCUGUCAAAAUGGCGGACACUGUAAACAUGUUGUAAAAAAUACUGUUGUUAUGGAUUAGAUAGCGCGAGUUGCAGGAAAUAAAUAUGCUCCAUUUACUUGUGUAAUAUUGGUUUCUUUCAACAAGUCACAUCUGGUCAGUCUAUUUGUGACUUGUAGUCACAAUAGUUCACAUAAGGUUAUACCCAAGGAGUGUCCGUAAAGGUGACUGGUAGCUGCGGAAUCCCACAGCCAUAGCCAGAGAACAGAAAUAUCCUUUCACGUAUCCUUCAGUUAAUGAAAAACCGUGUCUUUAUGAUGCCAAAAAAUUUGCUGAAGUUUCUUUCUACAUUUUUAUUUAUCAAACUAUUUUCCAUUAUUAUACUUUCAUUAAUGCUUCAUAAGUGUAAUAUCUAUCAAUCUUAAUUUUUAAUAUCAAUUUUAUGUACAGGUAUAUGUUUUGUAAACACAUUUUGAUUUAUAUAAUUAUAUACAUAGGUGUUUCAGCAAAUUAGCAAGUUUCAGGUUUCAAGUAUUUAUGUACGUAUAACAUUUGUGCUCAUUAUAAGUAAGACAUAUGUAUUUGUAUCUAUCUCUAAAACACACUCAAGUGUUAUUGUCACUAAAAGCCAUGCUCGCUAUUUAAUAUACUAUCAUUUACCGGUAUGUGUCUUUAUGUACUUAAGUCAUGAACAAUGUGAAUCAUAUUCACAAUCUUGAACUCGUGGGUUAUAUACUACAUAUGAAUUAUAAAAAAGCGGCUCUUCUUAACAUUUGAUUAUGUUUUCGACUAACAGUAUAUUUUACAAUAGGAUUUUGGAGACAAUUAUUUAUAAUCUCUUUCUCAAUAUUAAUGUAAUUUUUGUAAUCUGUCAUUAUAUUUUCAAGAUUAUACCAAGUUUUAAUGAUUUUAAUCAUCUGUUCUGUAUGCUGCUGGUUUUAUAAUAUAUGCACGCUUUUAGUUAUCAUUUCAGGCCAUGCCUACCUCUCAACACCGCAAUACAAAGGACCUGUCCGCUGGCUGGCACUUCCUGUACAAGUACUACAAAGGGGCGAUAAGGUACGUUUCCAGCCCUUCCUUUGAACACUACAUUAAACCUGCCUACCUCUCAACACCCGAAUACAGAGGACCUGUCCACUGGCUGGCACUUCCUGUACAAGUACUACAAUCGGACGAUAAGGCACGUUUCCAGCCCUUCCUAUUGAACACUACAUUAAACCACGAAAGACCCGAACGAACAAUUACGGCUAGAAACAGGAAGACUUCACUCUUCAGAACAUUGUGUAUUAUCUAGUGAACUUCAGUUUUUUAGUUCUCAUUUCAUACUUCUACAUUUUUAAUGUUAUGUCCGAUUAUAGUUAUCAGCUCAGGCUGAUACUAAUGGUUUAGUUCUCUCCGAAGUAAGUAUGUAAAUGCCUGAUUUAAGUUUUUCAGUUUAGACUGAUAUUGAUGUUAUAGUUCUCUACGAAGGAACUAUUUUUAUGCAGGCCUUGAUUAUAUUUUUCAAUACUCGGUCUGAUUUUGCUUAUACCGUUCAGGCUGAUAUUGUUGUUAUAGUUCUCUACGCAGGAACUAUGUUUAUGCAGGCCUUGCUUAUUCAUUUUUCAAUAUUUGGCCUGAUUUUGCUUAUACCGUUCAGGCUGAUAUUGUUAUUAUAGUUCUCUACGCAGAACUAUGUUUAUGCAGGCCUUGCUUAUUUAUUUUUCAAUAUUUGGCCUGAUUUUGCUUAUACCGUUCAGGCUGAUAUUGUUAUUAUAGUUCUCUACGCAGAACAAUAUUAUUGAUCUCUACGCAGAACUAUGUUCAUGCUGGCCUUGCUUUUAUAUUUUCCAUUAUUCAGCCUGAUUUUAGUUAUACCGUUCAGGCUGAUAUGGAUGUUAUAGUUCUCUACGCAGAACUAUGUUUAUGCAGGCCUUGCUUAUUAUUAUUUUCCAAUAUUCAGCCUGAUUUUAGUUGGACCGUUCAGGCCGAUAUUGAUGUUUUAGUUCUCUACGCAGAACUAUGUUUAUGCAGGCCUUGCUUAUUAUUAUUUUCCAAUAUUCAGCCUGAUUUUAGUUGGACCGUUCAGGCCGAUAUUGAAAUUUUAGUUCUCUACGAAGGAACUAUGUUUAUGCAGGCUUUGCUUAUUAUAUUUUACAAUAUUCAGCCUGAUUUUAGUUGGACCGUUCAGGCCGAUAUUGAGAUUUUAGUUCUCUACGAAGGAACUAUAUUUAUUCAGGCUGUGCAUAUACUUUUCUAUAUUCAAACUGAUUUUCAGUAUUCCAUUCAGGCUGAUAUUGAUGUUAUGGUUCUCUACGAAGGAACUAUGUUUUAUGCAAUCCUUGCUUAUAUUUUUCAGUAUUCUUCCUGAUUUUAGUUAUUCCGUUCAGGACGAUAUUGAGGAUAUAGUUCUCUACGAAGGAACUAAAUUUAUGCAUGAUUUUAGUUAUUCAGUUCAGUCAAUGCUUAUAUUUUUCAAUAUUCUGCAGAAUUUUAGUUAUUCAGUUUAGGCUGAUAUUGAUACUAUAGUUCUCUACGAAGGAGCUAUUUUACCUUAGUUGGGCACCAGAUCAGGUCAUGCUUGUACUUCUUACAUGUUCCGUCUGAUUCAGAUAUCUGGACAUGCCAUGUUUAUAUUUAUCUUUUAAUUUCUGCCCAGUAAGGCAUCGUUGGGGUUUACUCUACCCCUCUAACUAAACUUAUUUCUAUUUCUUAUGACCAAAAUUGUUAACUUAUUUUCCCUGUUUUUCUGAUUGGUAUGUGCCAAUUUUACCGUAUAUGCCAAUCUUUACGUGUAGUUAUUCUAACAGUUCUAGUGUCAACACAUCUUUCCCAUUGGUACUUGUUAAAAUACCAAUUCAUAUGAUUAAUACCCUGAUGAUACUCCUGGGGUUCAUAAACAUGUGUGUUGGCGUAUUAUACGAAUACAAUUGCCUUCUGCCCGAUCAUCUUCAUCUCCCAAAAGAUGCUUCUGGGUCUAAGAUUUUGAAGCUACUGUUGGGCAUAUUAGUUUUUCAUAUCUCUGAGUUAACGAGUAUGUCGCCCCACAGGGAUCUGCCACAUCCCUAGGUAAAUAAUCAUGCUCCACUAAGUCACACCAAAUACGAUCAUUACGUUUCCUAGGUUUUGUCCUCGAAAACCAUUACAUAUAUAUUUUCCAUCAUAAUCCAUUACCCUUUUUACUUUGCUUACUCAUAAGCGAUAAUCGUUAGCCCAGUUCUUUCACGUUUUAAAUCACGGGCUUGUUACCCGAGCUGUUCCAAAUGGUUAUUCCCACAGAUAUUCCUCUGGAUUAAUGGUAUUUGUUGUAUAUGUCUCUUUAACUGUCUGCCAGUUUACAUCUGCAGCCCAAUUGUUUAUUACUUUUUGAUUGGUCGCUCUUUUUCAAGUACAUUCCGAAUCUUACUUUUGUCAAGGUUUUUCAUAUUAUGUAUAUAUGUUAACUGAAAGUUUAUUGUUCCAAUUGUCUUUCACUCAUUUACUGGUACCGGUACUUCAUGCCAAUGCUGGUUGUCUGUCGGUUCCAAACCACAGCUCCAUAGUUGUACUACACGGUACAUUAUUGCUUUCCCUGUUUAUGUGUUACAAUUAUUAAUUUGCUUUUGUUGUGUUGCUUGACUGUUUAUGUUUAACCAACAGUUUAACCCCGCAGGUAACCUUUUACCUAUUACCAAGGUCUGUUAUUAAGGCAAUGUUUGUCUUUUUUUAUCUCAUUGUCUGAUAGUUUAAGAAUACAGUGCCAUUGUUUUACUAUAUGAUUGCUUACUCCUGUAUGGGUACAUAUUUUUACUUAUGUUGUUCUGCUGUACAAUCUAUGUUUACCUGAUAGGUAAAGGGUGCAGAUUGUAUUUAAAUUUUACCAAUACCCUUUUUUAAGGCCAAUAUGUGUUAAAUAUUUUUCAUACGUUGUCUGAUGGUUAAAGGAAGCCCCUAUAUUGUUUUACACUGGGUUCAUGAUACCUUACUACUUAACCACUACAUUUUAAUAUUUUGCUUCGUCAGGUUCUUGUACAUUUAAAGUUAACCUUAUAGUUUAAAGCUGCACAUUCAUUUUCACCUCUUAACAGGUACCUGUACUUGGUCUUAAUUCCAAAAUCUGUUGUAUACAUCUGUUUGGGCAUCUUGUUGGUUUAAGGCAUCUCCAUUGUAUAACAUAUUAUUGUUUACUUUCUUAUCGUUACAGGUAAUUUUUCACCUAUAACAAAGGCCCGUAAUUAGGGCCAUAUCUGUUGUAUAUAUCUCCUAUGCAUGAUGGUUUAGGGCCACAGCUCCAUUGUUUUACUAUAUUAUUGCUUACUUUUUACCGGUACAUCUUUUUUUAUAUUUAUUUUCGUUGCUUUGCUUUACAAUUUAUGUUUACCUGACAGUUUAAGGCUGCAGGUAAUUUUUCAUCUAUUAAUAAGGCUGCUGUUUAAGGCAAGUAUCUGUUGCUUAUAUCUCCUAUGUUGUCUGGCGGUUUAGUGCUCGGAUCGGGGAUUAUACUAUAUUAUUGAUUGCCUACUCUUUUACCGGUACGUUGUCUUAUUUUAUCGUGUGUUGCUUUGCCGUACAAUAAAUGUUUACCUGACAGUUUUAGGCUGCAAGCAAACGUUUCACCUUUUAACAAGGCUGUUUAUUAAAGCCAUUAUUUGUUGGGUAUAUCUCCUAUAUUGUAUGACAUUUUAAGGCCGCAAAUACAUGGUUUUUUCUUCAUGAUUGCUUACUCCUUUAAGUGUGCAUCUUCUUACCUUACUUUUGUUGUUUUGCUGUAAAAGUUAUGUUUCCCUGACAGUUUAAGGCUGCAGGUAGUCUUUCACCAUUUUGACUAGUGCUUAUACUUUAUGCAAAUAUUGGUUGUUUAAUCUCUGACCGGUUAAGGUCGCAGCUCCAAUUAUUUACAUAUAGGUCUAAGUCAAUUUUGUUGACAAUUAGGUUAAGCAGUUCUUAUUAAAACUGAUUUUUCUGGCAGUGUUUUUCUUAUGGAGCAUACACAUAAAAUAAAGUUAUGCUUAUUCUAGUGAUCGUUGAACACCAAUCCUAUUGUUUUCAAUUAAUUUACUUCACUGUGUUCUAUACUUUGUUAUUAAUUAGCAAAUAGAGGAUUUAAGCCUAGGGGCUCUUUACAAAUCAAAGCUUAUAAUGCUUAUUUGUCCUUAAUUUUCACAUUACCUGACCUUAAUCGUAAGGCUACUUUUAUAUUCAUUCAGGGGCAACUACCCCCUUUUCGAAUUGCGGUCCUCUCCCGUACUUCAUGGGCGGCGGGGUUCCCGUUCCGGUCCCCUUUGUGGCGUGUUUUUACCACCCAUUAUGCCUUUCUGGAAAGAAUCUGUUCUAUUUUUAUCUUUUUUAUGGCAUUUUAUAAUAAAUGCCCGUUUUCAAUCAACAA